ACGGGCAGACUAGAGUGCAGUAGGGGAGACUGAAUUCCUGGUGUAGCGGUGAAAUGCGCAGAUAUCAGGAGGAACACCGAUGGCGAAGGCAGGUCUCUGGGCUGUAACUGACGCUGAGGAGCGAAAGCAUGGGGAGCGAACAGGAUUAGAUACCCUGGUAGUCCAUGCCGUAAACGUUGGGCACUAGGUGUGGGGGACAUUCCACGUUUUCCGCGCCGUAGCUAACGCAUUAAGUGCCCCGCCUGGGGAGUACGGCCGCAAGGCUAAAACUCAAAGGAAUUGACGGGGGCCCGCACAAGCGGCGGAGCAUGCGGAUUAAUUCGAUGCAACGCGAAGAACCUUACCAAGGCUUGACAUGUUCCUGACCGCCGUAGAGAUACGGUUUCCCCUUUGGGGCAGGUUCACAGGUGGUGCAUGGUUGUCGUCAGCUCGUGUCGUGAGAUGUUGGGUUAAGUCCCGCAACGAGCGCAACCCUCGUUCCAUGUUGCCAGCACUUCGGGUGGGGACUCAUGGGAGACUGCCGGGGUCAACUCGGAGGAAGGUGGGGACGACGUCAAAUCAUCAUGCCCCUUAUGUCUUGGGCUUCACGCAUGCUACAAUGGCCGGUACAAUGGGUUGCGAUACUGUGAGGUGGAGCUAAUCCCAAAAAGCCGGUCUCAGUUCGGAUUGGGGUCUGCAACUCGACCCCAUGAAGUCGGAGUCGCUAGUAAUCGCAGAUCAGCAACGCUGCGGUGAAUACGUUCCCGGGCCUUGUACACACCGCCCGUCAAGUCACGAAAGUUGGUAACACCCGAAGCCGGUGGCCUA
This 807-nucleotide ribosomal RNA is filed under the name Micrococcus terreus. RNAcentral's name for it is "bacterial SSU rRNA". It matches the Rfam family "Bacterial small subunit ribosomal RNA", at positions 632 to 1437 of the family's 1533-position model. Lineage: Bacteria; Bacillati; Actinomycetota; Actinomycetes; Micrococcales; Micrococcaceae. The record is from RNAcentral.